RNAcentral lists this long non-coding RNA (243 nucleotides) under Mytilus galloprovincialis (Mediterranean mussel). Lineage: Eukaryota; Metazoa; Mollusca; Bivalvia; Mytilida; Mytilidae. The record is from RNAcentral.
CUUGCAGUAACUUUUUCUUUUCUAGCAAGCAAUGUUUAAUAACAUUAUAAACCAACAUAUUAUAAGUACAAACACAUUUGUCCAAUACAUUUAAAUGGACCGAAAUAAAACUAGGUAUUAUAAUCAUAUACAUUCUUAUGACACAAUAAACUUCAAACUGUCGUAGUUACUGUGAGCACUUUCGAUGGAAUGACACCCACACAUUUUCUUUAUAUAAUAUAACGGGACCCCACCUUUUAAACC